AGCUCUUCGUGUAGCCAAGGAUGACUUGCCGGCCGGCCUGCAUAUAUGUCUCCAAAUUAACAAGCUUAACAAGCUAGGUCGGCAAGUUGUUUGCUUUGGCUACAUGACUGCCUCA
Molecule: non-coding RNA, 115 nt
Organism: Brachypodium distachyon (stiff brome)
Lineage: Eukaryota; Viridiplantae; Streptophyta; Magnoliopsida; Poales; Poaceae
Source: Rfam